RNAcentral lists this ribosomal RNA (319 nucleotides) under uncultured eukaryote. Its description in RNAcentral is "partial 18S ribosomal RNA". It matches the Rfam family "Eukaryotic small subunit ribosomal RNA", at positions 1470 to 1796 of the family's 1831-position model. The record is from RNAcentral.
CCCUUAGAUGUUCUGGGCUGCACGCGCGCUACACUGACACACGCAACGAGUCUCCUGCCCUGACAGGGUCGGGUAAUCAUUUGAGUGUGUGUCGUGAUGGGGAUAGAGUAUUCAAUUAUUGCUCUUGAACGAGGAAUUCCUAGUAAGCACAAGUCAGCAGCUUGUGCUGAUUACGUCCCUGCCCUUUGUACACACCGCCCGUCGCUCCUACCGAGGGGGUGAUCCGGUGAAUGAUUCGGACUCUGGUGCUUCUAGCUGCUAGAUGCGCCGGAGGAAGUUUUGUGAACCUUAUCACUUGGAGGAAGGAGAAGUCGUAACA